Molecule: ribosomal RNA, 270 nt
Filed under: Triticum aestivum (bread wheat)
Lineage: Eukaryota; Viridiplantae; Streptophyta; Magnoliopsida; Poales; Poaceae
Description: partial small subunit ribosomal RNA
Source: RNAcentral
AUGGCGAUGAAGAAGACGAGCACCCUGUGCUGCAGCUUCGUGGCCGCCCUCGUGGUGGUCAUGGCUGCCACCCUCCUCCUCUCCUCAUGCGAUGCCCACAAAGAGAUGGAUGAUCUUGCUGCUUCUUUUGUGCCGGCGUCGUGCUACUCCAACUACUUCCCGCACUGCACCGAUCACCGGUGCAAGAAGUUCUGCGGCGGCGUGCGGGCGCCGCCGGUGCCCGGAGCCUUCUGUAACGACAGAAGCAACUGCUGCUGCCCCGUUAGUUGA